UUUUUUUUUUUUUUUAAUGGAUGGACCUAGAGAUUAUCACACUAAGUGAAGUUAUUAUCACUAAGUAGAGUUAGACAGUGAAGGACAAACACCAUAUGAUAUCAUUUAUACGUGGAAUCUUAAAAAAAAAGGAUACAAAUGAACUUAUUUGCAGAACAAAAACCUACUAAUAGACUUUGAAAAACUUAUAGUUACCAAAGGGGACAGGUGGCAGGGGGGUGGGGGAGAGGGAAGGAUGAAGUGGGGGUUUAGAAUUGGCAUAUGGGGACCUGCUAUAUAGCAGAAGGAACUCUACCAGAUCUUCUGAGAUAAUCAAGAUGAAAAAAAGAAUCUGAAAGAGAAUGGAUGUAUGUACAUUUAUAAUCACUUUGUUGUACAGCAGAAAUUAUCACAUUGUAAAUCAACUAUACUUCAAUAAAACUUUAAAAAAUGAAAAAAAAAAUCCUACUGUUUUCAAAUGGUAGAACCCCCACUCAAAUUUGCUUCAACCAGAAAUAGAAUUAAUCAGCCUACGUCAUUGGAAAACUCAGAAGUGAUUCAGUUCAGGCACAGCUGGAUCCAGGUGUUCCAAUAAUAUCAUCAGUAGGCACCAGCCCCUCUCUGCCUCUCUCCACCCAUUCACUUUAAUUUCAUCUAUACUGGCUUCAUUCUCAGGGCACUAAGAAUGAAGCCCUGUUACACUGUCAGGGCAGGAGGGCUGUUAGCCUAACCAUCUUGGUGGUACACAUCCCUCGUGCUCUCGAGAACAAGCACAUCCUUCCAGAUAGUGCUGGAGAAAGUUCCAAGAGGACUCUGAUUGUUCCAUCCUGGCUCAGGGCCUUAAACCCAUAUCUGUGCCAGGGAAGUGACUGUAUCAUGGGAGCCUUCUUUGGGUCAGGGCCACUGAACCUAACAUCGUGAAAUGAGAGAAUGCAGCAGAUGUUGUCAGGGACCCAAGUAUAAGACCUGGGACUCAACACUCCUACAUCCACAGUUUCCAACUAGAAGCACCCCUUCCCAGUGGAAGACUGCCUGGAGGCUUCCACUGGGAAGGGGACCAUGCUCCAGUCAUGUACAGGGCAGCGCAGAAGUGUCAGAGGGUCAAUGCCCCCAGGAGCAGCCCUCAACCAAAGGUGCAUAGGAAUCAGUCAAAAAAUACCCCAGCUUCUUCAUACACCCCUCCCUUGGGUGGGUUCUGCACAGUGCCCCUGAGGUUCCCAGCAGGUCCGAGCUCUAACUGCUCACAAUGGAAACCUGAAUGCACUCCCUCCUGGGUUCUCUACUCCCCUGCUGGUGCCUCCUACAGUCAUCAGCCAAACGAACUACUGCAGUCAAGUCCUAAGUCUUUGUUGUCUUCUGGCAGGGUUGCUGGGAAUUCAAAACAUUUCCAUCAUCAGACUAUCUGCAGGAGGUUCCUGCCAUCACAGAGACAGGCUUCUUAUCCAGAGUUAGGGAUUCAUAUACACAUAUUUUUUAAAGUAUAUAUUGUAUGAGUCUAGGUCCUCUCAGGAGCAGAUGCCAACAUGAGAUUAAAAAUGCAUGCUUUUAUUAUGGGAAACACUCAUAAGGGAAAAUAGGGAAAGAGGUGGGAACGGCUGGGAGAGCCAUCAGACCCCAGUGCCAGUCGGACCCCGAGUGAAGGACAGAGGGUAGGAAAAAGCAUCCUAGAAUGUGUGCUAAGGAAAUUUCAACCAGGCUUAGUGCCACAGCCAUCCAAGGAGCCUGCAUCUCUUAGGAAUAGGUCUGCCCCAGUAUCUCCACUUUGUCACUGGCUGGGAACAGACUGUGGGAAGCGUGGCUUUGGUGCCAAAGUAAGGAUCCAGCUCAGAACUCAGUAGCUGGGAAAUCACAAGCCAGUUAUAAUCCCUGUUUCUGCAUGGCACGUUCAUGGCUGCCACGUAUAUUACUAAAGAAUCCCCACACAUUCAGAGAAUUAAGAAGCUCUGCCACAGUUUUCUGAGGCCCAGAGUCAGAAAAAGAAAGAAAAAGUGCCCCAAGAGCCAGUGAGAUUCAGGCUCCAGGGACCAUGAAAAUUCAUGGCAUUAGUGUUCCUAUAGCAGAGGAUUCUGCUUGUGGGUGAAAAGCAGGCAGUGAAAAGAGCCCUGUUUGGAUGUGACGGCCUCCCCCAUCCCCUGCAAACCACAAAGCCAAGCAUAUUCUAAGUGUGGCAAGAAGCCCAAUCCUCUUUUUUUGUUGUUUUCACCAGCACUUCUUGGACCAGGGUACAUCUGAAAGCAAAGCUGAUCAGUUUCCUCUCAGCACCAUUAAAAGUGAUUAAAUGCUCAUCCUUUAGAAACCUGUGCAGCCUUUUUGUGCAUUUCCCUAGAAAGAGAGUUGCCAUCAUUUGCUAAAGGUAAGUAGGGAGAGGGAGUUAAAGAUAGGAGUGUUUUGGAGUCAUCCCCCUGCAGAGCACAUCUCACCCCCAAACUUGCCAGUGUGUCCCCAUAACUGCUAGAGUCUAGACCAGGGGUCAGCAAACUACAAACAGCCCCAGGGCCAAAUCCAGAUGCUGCUGAUUUUAUAAGUAAAGUUUUAUUGGAAGGCAGCCACACCCACUUGUUAAUCCUUUUGUGUCUGUUUUCUCUUUUCCAACAGCAGAGUAGAGUGGCUGGGACAGAGGCUGUUGACCGACACACAGCCUCAAAUGUUCCCUAUCUGGCUCUUAAGAAUAAAUUCACUGAUACACUCUAGAUUAUUUCCAAAAGGCAACUGGAGGGGAAAGAAGAGAAUAUAGGAGAGACUAGGAGGAAAUAAAAGGAAAUAUUUGAAAUAGUACUUAAACUCCAUAGCAAUCCAAUGAGGCUGGCAUAAAUUACGAGGAAACCGAGGCACAGAGAGCUCAGAUGACUUGUUCAAGGUCAUACAGUCAGCACACAUUGACCUGGAUGU
This 2868-nucleotide long non-coding RNA is filed under the name Sus scrofa (pig). Its description in RNAcentral is "lncRNA (ENSSSCG00055012741.1)". The record is from RNAcentral. Lineage: Eukaryota; Metazoa; Chordata; Mammalia; Artiodactyla; Suidae.